GACGAACGCUGGCGGCGUGCUUAACACAUGCAAGUCGAACGGAAAGGCCCUGCUUUUGUGGGGUGCUCGAGUGGCGAACGGGUGAGUAACACGUGAGUAACCUGCCCUUGACUUUGGGAUAACUUCAGGAAACUGGGGCUAAUACCGGAUAGGAGCUCCUGCUGCAUGGUGGGGGUUGGAAAGUUUCGGCGGUUGGGGAUGGACUCGCGGCUUAUCAGCUUGUUGGUGGGGUAGUGGCUUACCAAGGCUUUGACGGGUAGCCGGCCUGAGUGGGUGACCGGCCACAUUGGGACUGGGAUACGGCCAAGACUCCUACGGGAGGCAGAAGUGGGGAAUAUUGCACAAUGGGCGGAAGCCUGAUGCAGCAACGCCGCGUGCGGGAUGACGGCCUUCGGGUUGUAACCCGUUUUCGCCUGUGACGAAGCGUGAGUGACGGUAAUGGGUAAAGAAGCACCGGCUAACUACGUG
RNAcentral lists this ribosomal RNA (468 nucleotides) under uncultured bacterium. RNAcentral's name for it is "partial 16S ribosomal RNA". It matches the Rfam family "Bacterial small subunit ribosomal RNA", at positions 28 to 507 of the family's 1533-position model. The record is from RNAcentral.